Molecule: ribosomal RNA, 493 nt
Filed under: uncultured bacterium
Lineage: Bacteria
Description: bacterial SSU rRNA
Rfam family: Bacterial small subunit ribosomal RNA
Source: RNAcentral
GACGAACGCUGGCGGCGUGCCUAACACAUGCAAGUCGAGCGGAGAUGUACUGAAGAUUUAUCGGAUGUACAUCUUAGCGGCGGACGGGUGAGUAACGCGUGGGCAACCUGCCUUUCACUGGGGGAUAACACAGGGAAACCUGUGCUAAUACCGCAUGACAUCACGUAGGGCAUCCUAUGUGAUCAAAGGAGAGAUCCGGUGGAAGAUGGGCCCGCGUCCAAUUAGCUGGUUGGUGAGGUAAAGGCUCACCAAGGCGACGAUUGGUAGCCGAACUGAGAGGUUGAUCGGCCACAUUGGGACUGAGACACGGCCCAGACUCCUACGGGAGGCAGCAGUGGGGAAUAUUGCGCAAUGGGGGGAACCCUGACGCAGCAACGCCGCGUGAAGGAAGAAGGUCUUCGGAUUGUAAACUUCUUUGAUGAGGGACGAAUAAAGUGACGGUACCUCAAAACAAGCCACGGCUAACUACGUGCCAGCAGCCGCGGUAAUCAUA